This 85-nucleotide transfer RNA is filed under the name Felis catus (domestic cat). It matches the Rfam family "tRNA". Rfam says of the family: Transfer RNA (tRNA) molecules are approximately 80 nucleotides in length. The record is from Rfam by way of RNAcentral. Lineage: Eukaryota; Metazoa; Chordata; Mammalia; Carnivora; Felidae.
ACCUGAGUAGCUCAGUCAGUUAAGUGCCUGGCUUCAGCUCAGGUCAUGAUUUCGUGGUUUGUGGGUUCAAGCCCUGCCUCGGGUU